Molecule: long non-coding RNA, 1241 nt
Organism: Saccostrea cuccullata (small rock oyster)
Lineage: Eukaryota; Metazoa; Mollusca; Bivalvia; Ostreida; Ostreidae
Exons: 3
Source: RefSeq, a predicted model, not a curated record
AAUGAUUUAUUUAUUUUUAUUUUCGACCACGUGACGUUUUUGAGUUCUAUGAUUGGUCAAUAACAGAGCGCGGAUUUUUCCAUGGACGAUUUGAAUGUUUGGAUGUUGAAAGUGUUGAUAGAAAAAAGGAGAUAAAACCAGUUGCAGAAUAUUGGUACAUGAUGUUUCCAUGAGCUGAAUCUGUCCUGACCUGGAGUACAUGAAAUUCUUCACAAUUUUAUUGUUUAAGAAUUGAAGAAAAGGUUAAAAUUGCAAGCAUAUUUCAACGAAAACUUAGCCGACUACCAGUCACACUGCCCACCAGCCAAGACGUCUGACCAGCUAAAAUGAGGGACGCAGACCACCAGCCAAGUCCCUCGGCCAGCUCGGCUGACCCAGUGUGGCCUGUCAAGGGAUGACCAAGUCCAUCAACUAGCUCGGCUGACUACCAGUGCAGCCUGUCAAGUCCUUCAACUAACUGAAAUGGCCUAUUACCAGUGCGGCCUGUCAUUGAACAACCAAGUCUAUCAACUAGAUUGGCUUACUACCAGAGCGGCUUUUCAAGGGAUGGUCAAGUCCGUCAGAUGCGACCUGUCAAGGGAUGGCCAAGUCCGUCAACUAUCUUGACCAACUACCAGUGCAGCCUGUCAAACGAUGGCCAACCGAAGUCCUUCAACUAACUUGGCCUACUACCAGUGUGGCCUGUCAAACGAUGGCUAAGUGUGUCAGCUAACUUGGUCUACUACCAGUGCGGCCUGUCAAACGAUGGCCAAGUCCUUCAACUAACUUGGUCUACUACCAGUGCGGCCUGUCAAACGAUGGCUAAGUCUGUCAGCUAACUCAGCCAACUUUCAGUGCAGCCUAUCUUCAAAUAAUAAAGAUAAACAACUGUACACCUGCAAGGAUACCUGUGCAAGGAGGGUGGUAUGCAGCUAGAAACUGUGACUGUUUCUUUUUUUUUUGAAAAACAGCUAGAUCAAAAAUAAAUAGGGUGUUAAUAUUUAAAAAUUAGUGAUGUCUGUUUAUACAAUUAGCAAGAGUAGAAUGCAGUUUGCUAGGUAAUUUUACAAAGACCCUAAUUGCUAUAUGCUAAAAAUGUAUUCUUUAAAACAACCAGAGAAAUUUCAAUCUGUUGUAGAUGACAUGAUGUAAAAUAAGGUACACUUGAAUUUUUAAAACAAUUGCAUGUGCAUUCAUUUAGUUGUAUUUGACAAUAAACCAAGCUAUCUUUAUCGUGUUUGUUAGGUAAAAUUGUUAUUGCC